This 497-nucleotide ribosomal RNA is filed under the name uncultured bacterium. RNAcentral describes it as "partial 16S ribosomal RNA". It matches the Rfam family "Bacterial small subunit ribosomal RNA", at positions 28 to 507 of the family's 1533-position model. The record is from RNAcentral.
GAUGAACGCUGGCGGCGUGCCUAAUACAUGCAAGUCGAGCGAACAGACGGGGAGCUUGCUCCUCUGACGUUAGCGGCGGACGGGUGAGUAACACGUGGAUAACCUACCUAUAAGACUGGGAUAACUUCGGGAAACCGGAGCUAGUACCGGAUAAUAUAUUGAACCGCAUGGUUCAAUAGUGAAAGACGGUUUUGCUGUCACUUAUAGAUGGAUCCGCGCCGCAUUAGCUAGUUGGUAAGGUAACGGCUUACCAAGGCGACGAUGCGUAGCCGACCGGAGAGGGUGAUCGGCCAAACUGGAACUGAGCCACGGUCCAGACUCCUCCGGGAGGCAGCAGUAGGGAAUCUUCCGCAAUGGGCGAAAGCCUGACGGAGCAACGCCGCGUGGGUGAUGAAGGUCUUCGGAUCGUAAAACUCUGUUAUUAGGGAAGAACAAAUGUGUAAGUAACUAUGCACGUCUUGACGGUACCUAAUCAGAAAGCCACGGCUAACUACGUG